RNAcentral lists this ribosomal RNA (59 nucleotides) under Cortinarius olivaceoluteus. Its description in RNAcentral is "partial 28S ribosomal RNA". Lineage: Eukaryota; Fungi; Basidiomycota; Agaricomycetes; Agaricales; Cortinariaceae. The record is from RNAcentral.
UUUCAUUAAUGUGACCUCAAAUCAGGUAGGACUACCCGCUGAACUUAAGCAUAUCAAUA